UUUUUGUAAACGCUGAGUCCAAUUAUAUGGAGCGGAGGAACCAAUUUGUGCAGUGUCACUAGGGGUGAAUCUUUCAAGUUUGAAAGUAGGGCUACUCUCAAAGUCCGAAUCCGACAGCUAACUUCGUAAGCGUCUUGAGAGAGGACGG
Bacillus cereus ATCC 14579 is the source of this 148-nucleotide regulatory RNA element. It matches the Rfam family "c-di-AMP riboswitch aptamer (ydaO/yuaA leader)". Rfam says of the family: This family represents a conserved RNA structure found upstream of the ydaO and yuaA genes in Bacillus subtilis and related genes in other bacteria. The ydaO/yuaA element is thought to act as a genetic "off" switch for the ydaO and yuaA genes in its native state. The record is from Rfam. Lineage: Bacteria; Bacillati; Bacillota; Bacilli; Caryophanales; Bacillaceae.